GUACCGAUGAAGAGUCCCAAACUAGGACGAAACAGUUGUUCAGUAC
RNAcentral lists this non-coding RNA (46 nucleotides) under Trichobilharzia regenti. The record is from RNAcentral. Lineage: Eukaryota; Metazoa; Platyhelminthes; Trematoda; Strigeidida; Schistosomatidae.